Molecule: ribosomal RNA, 1397 nt
Filed under: uncultured bacterium
Lineage: Bacteria
Description: 16S ribosomal RNA
Rfam family: Bacterial small subunit ribosomal RNA
Source: RNAcentral
AGAGUUUUAUCCUGGCUCAGGAUGAACGCUAGCUACAGGCUUAACACAUGCAAGUCGAGGGGCAGCAUGGUCUUAGCUUGCUAAGGCCGAUGGCGACCGGCGCACGGGUGAGUAACACGUAUCCAACCUGCCGUCUACUCUUGGACAGCCUUCUGAAAGGAAGAUUAAUACAAGAUGGCAUCAUGAGUCCGCAUGUUCACAUGAUUAAAGGUAUUCCGGUAGACGAUGGGGAUGCGUUCCAUUAGGCAGUUGGCGGGGUAACGGCCCACCAAACCAACGAUGGAUAGGGGUUCUGAGAGGAAGGUCCCCCACAUUGGAACUGAGACACGGUCCAAACUCCUACGGGAGGCAGCAGUGAGGAAUAUUGGUCAAUGGACGAGAGUCUGAACCAGCCAAGUAGCGUGAAGGAUGACUGCCCUAUGGGUUGUAAACUUCUUUUAUACGGGAAUAAAGUUAGCCACGUGUGGCUUUUUGUAUGUACCGUAUGAAUAAGGAUCGGCUAACUCCGUGCCAGCAGCCGCGGUAAUACGGAGGAUCCGAGCGUUAUCCGGAUUUAUUGGGUUUAAAGGGAGCGUAGGCGGGUUGUUAAGUCAGUUGUGAAAGUUUGCGGCUCAACCGUAAAAUUGCAGUUGAUACUGGCGACCUUGAGUGCAACAGAGGUAGGCGGAAAUUCGUGGUGUAGCGGUGAAAUGCUUAGAUAUCACGAAGAACUCCGAUUGCGAAGGCAGCUUACUGGAUUGUAACUGACGCUGAUGCUCGAAAGUGUGGGUAUCAAACAGGAUUAGAUACCCUGGUAGUCCACACAGUAAACGAUGAAUACUCGCUGUUGGCGAUAUACAGUCAGCGGCCAAGCGAAAGCAUUAAGUAUUCCACCUGGGGAGUACGCCGGCAACGGUGAAACUCAAAGGAAUUGACGGGGGCCCGCACAAGCGGAGGAACAUGUGGUUUAAUUCGAUGAUACGCGAGGAACCUUACCCGGGCUUAAAUUGCAACUGACUGAACCGGAAACGGUUCUUUCUUCGGACAGUUGUGAAGGUGCUGCAUGGUUGUCGUCAGCUCGUGCCGUGAGGUGUCGGCUUAAGUGCCAUAACGAGCGCAACCCUUAUCGAUAGUUACUAGCAGGUCAUGCUGAGGACUCUAUUGAGACUGCCGUCGUAAGAUGUGAGGAAGGUGGGGAUGACGUCAAAUCAGCACGGCCCUUACGUCCGGGGCUACACACGUGUUACAAUGGGGGGUACAGAAGGCAGCUACACGGCGACGUGGUGCUAAUCCCGAAAGCCUCUCUCAGUUCGGAUUGGAGUCUGCAACCCGACUCCAUGAAGCUGGAUUCGCUAGUAAUCGCGCAUCAGCCACGGCGCGGUGAAUACGUUCCCGGGCCUUGCACACACCGCCCGUCA